UACGGAGGUGGCUAGCGUUACUCGGAAUUAUUGGGUGUAAAGGGCAAGUAGGCGGUUUAAUAAGUGGGGGGUGAAAUACUCCGGCUCAAUCGGAGAACAGCCUUCCAAACUGUUAGACUUGAGUGUGACAGAGGAAAAUGGAAUUCUAGGUGUAAGGGUGAAAUCUGUAGAUAUCUAGAAGAACACCAGCUGCGAAGGCGAUUUUCUGGGUCAUUACUGACACUGAAGAACGAAAGCUAGGGGAGCAAACAGG
This 253-nucleotide ribosomal RNA is filed under the name uncultured bacterium. RNAcentral describes it as "partial 16S ribosomal RNA". It matches the Rfam family "Bacterial small subunit ribosomal RNA", at positions 524 to 776 of the family's 1533-position model. The record is from RNAcentral.